Cavia porcellus (domestic guinea pig) is the source of this 130-nucleotide small nucleolar RNA. Lineage: Eukaryota; Metazoa; Chordata; Mammalia; Rodentia; Caviidae. The record is from Ensembl.
CUGUUUGAGGAUAUAGGCAGAUAAUGAAGCUGAGGACCAAGCAGGAGCCUAAAGAGAUGUCUUUCUAUGGUCUGUUGGCCAUUUCAGAACUUGGGCAGUGAAAUGGUCAAUUCAUUAGAAAGAAACAGCU